Molecule: transfer RNA, 66 nt
Filed under: Pista cristata
Lineage: Eukaryota; Metazoa; Annelida; Polychaeta; Terebellida; Terebellidae
Description: tRNA-Asp
Source: RNAcentral
GAAACUUUAGUUAAUUAUAUAACACAGGAAUGUCAUCCCUGAGUAACUCUUUCUGAGUAAGAUUCU